GCCUUCGUGGUGUAAUGGUCAGCACACUGAGCCGGUAUUUCAGACGUCGUGGUUCGAUCCCCGGCGAAGGCA
Molecule: transfer RNA, 72 nt
Filed under: Stegodyphus mimosarum
Lineage: Eukaryota; Metazoa; Arthropoda; Arachnida; Araneae; Eresidae
Rfam family: tRNA
About the family: Transfer RNA (tRNA) molecules are approximately 80 nucleotides in length. Their secondary structure includes four short double-helical elements and three loops (D, anti-codon, and T loops).
Source: Rfam by way of RNAcentral